GACGGGGGGUCCUAGCGUUGUUCGGAAUCAUUGGGCGUAAAGCGUGUGCAGGCUGUUUGAUAAGUUGGAUGUGAAAGCCUUGGGCUUAACCCAAGAAGUGCAUUCAAAACUAUCAAACUUGAGUAUGUAAGAGGAUCGUGGAAUUCCUAGUGUAGUGGUGAAAUACGUAGAUAUCAGGAGGAACACCGGUGGCGAAGGCGGGUCUCUGGGCCGAUAUUGACGCUGAGGAGCGAAAGCGUGGGGAGCGAACAGG
RNAcentral lists this ribosomal RNA (253 nucleotides) under uncultured bacterium. RNAcentral's name for it is "partial 16S ribosomal RNA". It matches the Rfam family "Bacterial small subunit ribosomal RNA", at positions 524 to 776 of the family's 1533-position model. The record is from RNAcentral.